UAGGGUACGGUAAUAAAUUUCGUUUAGUGUAGACAAACAAUUAUAUAUAUAUAUAUAUAUAUAUAUAUAUAUAUAUAUAUAUAUAUAUUAAACUAGUUAGAGUUAAAAUUUAACGCCGUCAAAUAAUUCUGUAACGCCCGUUAACGGUUGGGUUUGAUUCUACCAAUAAUUUGUGUCUGAGAUAUUUUUGGAAUACAAAUAAUUAGAUGAGGUAUUUUUAUUCCA
RNAcentral lists this small RNA (225 nucleotides) under Arabidopsis thaliana (thale cress). RNAcentral's name for it is "ATSL155340". The record is from RNAcentral. Lineage: Eukaryota; Viridiplantae; Streptophyta; Magnoliopsida; Brassicales; Brassicaceae.